Triplophysa rosa is the source of this 494-nucleotide long non-coding RNA. RefSeq lists it as uncharacterized. Lineage: Eukaryota; Metazoa; Chordata; Actinopteri; Cypriniformes; Nemacheilidae. The record is from RefSeq and is a predicted model, not a curated record. The transcript is spliced from 4 exons.
GUGUGAUGCUGUGUAAGGUUCUAAUCUUCAGACCUGCUAGCAUGAGCAGAAACUACGGUGAGCUCAGGCGUGCUAUUCACUUACGGCCGCUCCGUGCCUCUGGGACGGGUGGAAAUAUAUCUCUCUGACCUGCCACCAAUUUGCUGAAGGGGCCGGAAAGUGCUGAUGAACCCCUUCAGACGGAGAAGUGCCGACCUGACCAGAUGAUGGGAAAGAGAGCGAGUGCACGUGGGCUUUGUCUUUCACUCCACUAUUAAAAUGAUGAUGUAUUCUGCGUGUUGGGAUGUGACAGGACAAUGGAGACGCCUCGUUCACCGAGCAGACAGAAGAGAGGAACAGUGUGAAUGAGUGUUGGUUGUAAUGUUUUCCUGCAGGCUGACAGCAGAGGUCCUCUCAACACGCUACAGGUUUCCUUUGUUCCCGCAGACAGAGAUGAAUCUCCCCCCUCCCGGACCCUCAGACCCCCCCCGAACCCGGGGCCCACUGGUGGGGGC